RNAcentral lists this ribosomal RNA (819 nucleotides) under uncultured bacterium. RNAcentral's name for it is "bacterial SSU rRNA". It matches the Rfam family "Bacterial small subunit ribosomal RNA", at positions 8 to 813 of the family's 1533-position model. The record is from RNAcentral.
AGAGUUUGAUCCUGGCUCAGGAUGAACGCUAGCGACAGGCUUAACACAUGCAAGUCGAGGGGCAGCGGUGGUGAAGGCUUGCCUUCACCAGCCGGCGACCGGCGCACGGGUGAGUAACACGUAUGCAACCUGCCUGCCACAGCCGGAUAAUCGGGAGAAAUCCCGUCUAAUACGGCAUAAUGCAUCGACGGGACAUCCUGUUGGUGCCAAAGGUUAAUUCCGGUGGCGGAUGGGCAUGCGUCGCAUUAGUUAGUUGGCGGUGUAACGGACCACCAAGACGACGAUGCGUAGGGGUUCUGAGAGGAAGGUCCCCCACACUGGUACUGAGACACGGACCAGACUCCUACGGGAGGCAGCAGUGAGGAAUAUUGGUCAAUGGGCGGGAGCCUGAACCAGCCAAGUCGCGUGAGGGAUGACGGCUCUAUGGGUUGUAAACCUCUUUUGCCGGGGAGCAAAGUGCCGCACGUGUGCGGUUUGGAGAGUACCCGGAGAAAAAGCAUCGGCUAACUCCGUGCCAGCAGCCGCGGUAAUACGGAGGAUGCGAGCGUUAUCCGGAUUUAUUGGGUUUAAAGGGUGCGUAGGCGGACGCUUAAGUCAGCGGUAAAAUUGCGGGGCUCAACCUCGUCGAGCCGUUGAAACUGGGUGCCUUGAGUGGGCGAGAAGUACGCGGAAUGCGUGGUGUAGCGGUGAAAUGCAUAGAUAUCACGCAGAACUCCGAUUGCGAAGGCAGCGUACCGGCGCCCAACUGACGCUGAAGCACGAAGGCGUGGGUAUCGAACAGGAUUAGAUACCCUGGUAGUCCACGCAGUAAACGAUGAA